CCCGGGUCUUGUACACACCGCCCGUCACACCAUGGGAGCGGGAUGUACCAGAAAGUAGGUAGGCUAACCGCAAGGGGGCCGCUUACCACGGUGCGUUUCGUGACUGGGGUG
Molecule: ribosomal RNA, 111 nt
Filed under: uncultured bacterium
Lineage: Bacteria
Description: partial 16S ribosomal RNA
Rfam family: Bacterial small subunit ribosomal RNA
Source: RNAcentral